RNAcentral lists this ribosomal RNA (253 nucleotides) under uncultured bacterium. RNAcentral describes it as "partial 16S ribosomal RNA". It matches the Rfam family "Bacterial small subunit ribosomal RNA", at positions 524 to 776 of the family's 1533-position model. The record is from RNAcentral.
UACGAAGGGGGCUAGCGAUGUUCGGAUUUACUGGGCGUAAAGCGCGUGUAGGCGGGUCGUUAAAUCGGGGGUGAAAGCCCAGAGCUCAACUCUGGAACUGCCUUCGAUACUGGCGAACUUGAGUGAGGAAGAGGCGAGUGGAAUUCCGAGUGUAGAGGUGAAAUUCAUAGAUAUUCGGAGGAACACCAGUGGCGAAGGCGGCUCGCUGGUCCUUUACUGACGCUGAGACGCGAAAGCGUGGGGAGCAAACAGG